GAUGAACGCUGGCGGCGUGCCUAAUACAUGCAAGUCGAGCGAACAGACGAGGAGCUUGCUCCUCUGACGCUAGCGGCGGACGGGUGAGUAACACGUGGAUAACCUACCUAUAAGACUGGGAUAACUUCGGGAAACCGGAGCUAAUACCGGAUAAUAUAUUGAACCGCAUGGUUCAAUAGUGAAAGACGGUUUUGCUGUCACUUAUAGAUGGAUCCGCGCCGCAUUAGCUAGUUGGUAAGGUAACGGCUUACCAAGGCAACGAUGCGUAGCCGACCUGAGAGGGUGAUCGGCCACACUGGAACUGAGACACGGUCCAGACUCCUACGGGAGGCAGCAGUAGGGAAUCUUCCGCAAUGGGCGAAAGCUUGACGGAGUAACGCCGCGUGAGUGAUGAAGGUCUUCGGAUCGUAAAACUCUGUUAUUAGGGAAGAACAAAUGUGUAAGUAACUAUGCACGUCUUGACGGUACCUAAUCAGAAAGCCACGGCUAACUACGUG
RNAcentral lists this ribosomal RNA (497 nucleotides) under uncultured bacterium. RNAcentral describes it as "partial 16S ribosomal RNA". It matches the Rfam family "Bacterial small subunit ribosomal RNA", at positions 28 to 507 of the family's 1533-position model. The record is from RNAcentral.